This 722-nucleotide long non-coding RNA is filed under the name Carica papaya (papaya). RNAcentral's name for it is "long non-coding RNA (CPAP_LNC006440)". The record is from RNAcentral. Lineage: Eukaryota; Viridiplantae; Streptophyta; Magnoliopsida; Brassicales; Caricaceae.
GAUAAUUUAAACAAUAGUGAGUCCGUUUUGUUUUUGUUUUUUCUUCUUUUCUUUUCAGAAAGUUGUAAUAUUAAUGAGUUUUAAUAUACCAAACAAAUAAAGUGAAACUAGAGGUAACAUAUAUAUAUAUAUAUAUGUAGAUUAAUUGGUGAAUAUGGGUUACUACCAGUUACCCAUUAUACAUAUAUAUAUAUAGAUAGAUAUCUUUAACUAUAUUGGACAAAUUGUUGGUGAGAUGGUGAUACGGGAGUGGGGUGCAGACAUUUGGUGGUGGUAUUUGGUAGCAGAGCUAUUUAAUACACUUCACUUUAAGAAAGACUUGUUCAGAUAUGUAUGAGUUUAUUUUUAAUAAUGCAGAACCCAGACUUUCUGGUGGAAAACCUGUUGAAAUAUGACUCAGAAUUUUAAUGGGUUUUUCCUGGGAGACAUUCUGUAAGUAGGCGAAUCUCUAUAAUAAGUUUCAAAUUUUGAUUCUUUUAGAAAAAGUUUUACCUAUUUGUUAACAUAUUGGGUAAAUUGUCUUCGACUAAUUUCACAAAGAGAUUAAUUUUGAUGAGAAAGUAGUGAAAUGAAGAACUAUAAUGAGAUGCAUGGAUGGAUUUCCUGAUCCUACAAUAAUGAGAUGUAUGGAUACAUAGUAUUAAUUUCAUAGUACUACCUAUUGUAAUUGAACUUAUGGUUGAGAGAUUGUAAUUAUAAAAAUAUAGUUCAAGCAAUAAUGA